Molecule: ribosomal RNA, 253 nt
Filed under: uncultured bacterium
Lineage: Bacteria
Description: partial 16S ribosomal RNA
Rfam family: Bacterial small subunit ribosomal RNA
Source: RNAcentral
UACGUAGGGGGCAAGCGUUGUCCGGAUUCAUUGGGCGUAAAGAGCGUGUAGGCGGCCAGGUAGGUCGGUUGUGAAAACUGGAGGCUCAACCUUCAGACGUCGACCGAAACCCCCUGGCUAGAGUCCGGGAGAGGAGAGUGGAAUUCCUGGUGUAGCGGUGAAAUGCGCAGAUAUCAGGAAGAACACCCGUGGCGAAAGCGGCUCUCUGGAACGGUACCGACGCUGAGACGCGAAAGCGUGGGGAGCGAACAGG